Molecule: ribosomal RNA, 421 nt
Filed under: uncultured bacterium
Lineage: Bacteria
Description: bacterial SSU rRNA
Rfam family: Bacterial small subunit ribosomal RNA
Source: RNAcentral
UAAGGAAUAUUGGUCAAUGGACGCAAGUCUGAACCAGCCAUGCCGCGUGAAGGAUGAAGGUCCUCUGGAUUGUAAACUUCUUUUAUCUGGGACGAAAACGGGAUUUUUAUCUCAAUUGACGGUACCAGAGGAAUAAGCACCGGCUAACUCCGCGCCAGCAGCCGCGGUAAUACGGAGGGUGCGAGCGUUAUCCGGAUUUACUGGGUUUAAAGGGUGCGUAGGUGGGCUUAUAAGUCAGUGGUGAAAUCUCCGAGCUUAACUUGGAAACUGCCGUUGAUACUAUAGGUCUUGAAUUAUCUGGAGGUAAGCGGAAUAUGUCAUGUAGCGGUGAAAUGCUUAGAUAUGACAUAGAACACCAAUUGCGAAGGCAGCUUACUACAUAUAAAUUGACGCUGAGGCACGAAAGCGUGGGGAUCAAACA